ACUGGGUGUGGUGGCACACCUGCAGUCCCAGCUACUUGGAGGCUGAGGCAGGGGAAUCACUUGACCCCAGGAAUUCGAGGCUGUAGUGUGCUAUGCAAUGGGGUGUCUGCACUAAGUUAGGCAUUAAUAUGGUGAACUCCCGGGAGUAGGGCCUGCCAGCUUGCCUAAGGAGGUUUCAACCCGUUGGAAACCUAGAAGGUCACAACUCCAGGGCUCAUUAGCAGUGGGAUCAGCGCCUGGGAAUAGACACUGUGCUCCAGCCUGGAUGACAAUAGCCAGAUCCAGUCUU
Molecule: signal recognition particle RNA, 289 nt
Filed under: Carlito syrichta (Philippine tarsier)
Lineage: Eukaryota; Metazoa; Chordata; Mammalia; Primates; Tarsiidae
Description: Metazoan signal recognition particle RNA (ENSTSYG00000026131.1)
Rfam family: Metazoan signal recognition particle RNA
About the family: The signal recognition particle (SRP) is a universally conserved ribonucleoprotein. It is involved in the co-translational targeting of proteins to membranes.
Source: RNAcentral